AAGAAGAAGAAAAAAAGA
This 18-nucleotide small RNA is filed under the name Arabidopsis thaliana (thale cress). RNAcentral describes it as "ATSL132600". Lineage: Eukaryota; Viridiplantae; Streptophyta; Magnoliopsida; Brassicales; Brassicaceae. The record is from RNAcentral.